CACGUCGUGGUGCGGCACGGUGCGGGCGCCGUUCGCGUCGACGGUCUGCUCGACCAGGCCCCGGCCGCGGUUCCAGACCGUCGUCGUGC
RNAcentral lists this transfer RNA (89 nucleotides) under Actinoplanes regularis. RNAcentral's name for it is "tRNA-Ala". Lineage: Bacteria; Bacillati; Actinomycetota; Actinomycetes; Micromonosporales; Micromonosporaceae. The record is from RNAcentral.